GGGAACAUACCCUUUUCCACGGAAUAGCUCUGGGAAACUGGAAUUAAUACCGUAUACGCCCUACGGGGGAAAGAUUUAUCGGGGAAGGAUUGGCCCGCGUUGGAUUAGCUAGUUGGUGGGGUAAAGGCCUACCAAGGCGACGAUCCAUAGCUGGUCUGAGAGGAUGAUCAGCCACAUUGGGACUGAGACACGGCCCAAACUCCUACGGGAGGCAGCAGUGGGGAAUAUUGGACAAUGGGCGCAAGCCUGAUCCAGCCAUGCCGCGUGAGUGAUGAAGGCCUUAGGGUUGUAAAGCUCUUUCACCGAUGAAGAUAAUGACGGUAGUCGGAGAAGAAGCCCCGGCUAACUUCGUGCCAGCAGCCGCGGUAAUACGAAGGGGGCUAGCGUUGUUCGGAAUUACUGGGCGUAAAGCGCACGUAGGCGGAUAUUUAAGUCAGGGGUGAAAUCCCAGAGCUCAACUCUGGAACUGCCUUUGAUACUGGGUAUCUUGAGUAUGGAAGAGGUAAGUGGAAUUGCGAGU
This 520-nucleotide ribosomal RNA is filed under the name uncultured bacterium. RNAcentral's name for it is "bacterial SSU rRNA". It matches the Rfam family "Bacterial small subunit ribosomal RNA", at positions 120 to 674 of the family's 1533-position model. The record is from RNAcentral.